This 253-nucleotide ribosomal RNA is filed under the name uncultured bacterium. RNAcentral describes it as "partial 16S ribosomal RNA". It matches the Rfam family "Bacterial small subunit ribosomal RNA", at positions 524 to 776 of the family's 1533-position model. The record is from RNAcentral.
UACGAAGGUUGCGAGCGUUGUUCGGAAUCACUGGGCUUAAAGCGCAUGUAGGCGGCCCGUCAAGUGCCUUGUGAAAUCCCACGGCUCAACCGUGGAAUGGCUUGGCAUACUGUCGGGCUUGAGGCAGGUAGGGGCGCAUGGAACUCUUGGUGGAGCGGCGGAAUGCGUAGAUAUCAAGAGGAACGCCGGUGGCGAAAGCGGUGCGCUGGGCCUGUCCUGACGCUGAGAUGCGAAAGCCAGGGGAGCAAACGGG